AGGACGAACGCUGGCGGCGUGCUUAACACAUGCAAGUCGAGCGGAAAGGCCUUUCGGGGUACUCGAGCGGCGAACGGGUGAGUAACACGUGAGUAACCUGCCCCCUACUUUGGGAUAACCCUCGGAAACGGGGGCUAAUACCGGAUAUGACCUUUCUCGGCAUCGGGUUUGGUGGAAAGUUUUUCGGUGGGGGAUGGGCUCGCGGCCUAUCAGCUUGUUGGUGGGGUAAUGGCCUACCAAGGCGACGACGGGUAGCCGGCCUGAGAGGGCGACCGGGCCAACGACUGGGACUGAGACACGGCCCAGACUCCUACGGGAGGCAGCAGUGGGGAAUAUUGCACAAUGGCGGAAGCCUGAUGCAGCGACGCCGCGUGAGGGAUGACGGCCUUCGGGUUGUAAACCUCUUUCAGCAGGACGAAGCGAGAGUGACGGUACCUGCAGAAGAAGCGCCGGCCAACUACGUGCCAGCAGCCGC
RNAcentral lists this ribosomal RNA (475 nucleotides) under uncultured bacterium. RNAcentral's name for it is "SSU rRNA". It matches the Rfam family "Bacterial small subunit ribosomal RNA", at positions 26 to 518 of the family's 1533-position model. The record is from RNAcentral.